RNAcentral lists this long non-coding RNA (860 nucleotides) under Brassica rapa (field mustard). Its description in RNAcentral is "long non-coding RNA (BRAP_LNC006376)". Lineage: Eukaryota; Viridiplantae; Streptophyta; Magnoliopsida; Brassicales; Brassicaceae. The record is from RNAcentral.
CCGAUGAAGCCGCAAGCAGAGACGACGAGGAUGAGAACGCCGAGGACGACGACGGGCCAACGGAGGAGAUUGACACACUCGUUGUCAGGUUUCGAGGCAAGCCAUAUCCCUGACGCCGUUAUAGGUAUCGAACAUAGUAACGCUAGUAAGUUCAGUAUCGCCGUUAAGUUAUUCGCUAACGCCAUUAGCUCUCUCUCUUAAAAAUUUGAAGAAGUAAAGAAAGUGAGAGGACUGUCUCUGUUUUUCUUACUUGUAUGAUGAGGUCGGUGCCUUGGUCGUUAGUGUGAGCUUUGUUUUAUGCUAAAAUUUACACAACACGAGGUUCGGUCCGGUACAGUUAUCCGGCUAAGUGCUGAUUUAAAGGGAAUGGAUAUGUGGUUUUAUAAUAUUGUAUCCUUUUUAACAGUGUUCACGUUGAUUUUUUUCUUCAGGUAACUUGUUAAAAGGGGAAUUUUUAUUUCCAGUUCAUUGCGGUGAACAAGUUAAUAUGGCCGGACAGUUUUUUCUUUUGGGUUUAGCAGUGGAAUCCUGUCACAUGGAUGUACACGUGGAGAAAGGAGAUGCCUUUUGAAAGUUUUGAAUUGCGUUUGUGUUUUAAGGCGAUGCCGUAACCAUAGGACAUAAUUAACCCCGGUUUCUUAGUUAGGAUUCUUAACUUAUGAUUUAACUUUUUUUUUUAUAUUUUUCGGUUAAGAUACGGUUCUUACAUCUUUUAUUUAAGAGACGGUUCUUAGCUUUUUUUAGUUAAAAUCUAAGAAAAGUUAAGAACCAUUUUUUAACUGAAGUUAAAAACUCCAGUUAAGAGACUGAAGUUAAUCAUGGUCUUAUGCUCUUAUAGUUUUUAUUUUUUGAAUGCCCAC